GCCCAGUUGGCUCACUUGGUGGAGCACGUGACUCUUGAUCUCGGCGUUGUGAGUUAGAGCCCCAUGUUGGGCG
RNAcentral lists this transfer RNA (73 nucleotides) under Ailuropoda melanoleuca (giant panda). It matches the Rfam family "tRNA". From Rfam's summary of the family: Transfer RNA (tRNA) molecules are approximately 80 nucleotides in length. Their secondary structure includes four short double-helical elements and three loops (D, anti-codon, and T loops). Lineage: Eukaryota; Metazoa; Chordata; Mammalia; Carnivora; Ursidae. The record is from Rfam by way of RNAcentral.